This 579-nucleotide ribosomal RNA is filed under the name Streptomyces olivaceus. Its description in RNAcentral is "bacterial SSU rRNA". It matches the Rfam family "Bacterial small subunit ribosomal RNA", at positions 67 to 662 of the family's 1533-position model. Lineage: Bacteria; Bacillati; Actinomycetota; Actinomycetes; Kitasatosporales; Streptomycetaceae. The record is from RNAcentral.
CGAUGAACCNCUUCGGUGGGGAUUAGUGGCGAACGGGUGAGUAACACGUGGGCAAUCUGCCCUGCACUCUGGGACAAGCCCUGGAAACGGGGUCUAAUACCGGAUAUUGACCUUCACGGGCAUCUGUGAGGUUCGAAAGCUCCGGCGGUGCAGGAUGAGCCCGCGGCCUAUCAGCUUGUUGGUGAGGUAAUGGCUCACCAAGGCGACGACGGGUAGCCGGCCUGAGAGGGCGACCGGCCACACUGGGACUGAGACACGGCCCAGACUCCUACGGGAGGCAGCAGUGGGGAAUAUUGCACAAUGGGCGAAAGCCUGAUGCAGCGACGCCGCGUGAGGGAUGACGGCCUUCGGGUUGUAAACCUCUUUCAGCAGGGAAGAAGCGAAAGUGACGGUACCUGCAGAAGAAGCGCCGGCUAACUACGUGCCAGCAGCCGCGGUAAUACGUAGGGCGCAAGCGUUGUCCGGAAUUAUUGGGCGUAAAGAGCUCGUAGGCGGCUUGUCACGUCGGUUGUGAAAGCCCGGGGCUUAACCCCGGGUCUGCAGUCNAUACNGGCAGGCUANAGUUCGGUAGGGGAAAUC